GACGAACGCUGGCGGCGUGCUUAACACAUGCAAGUCGAACGGAAAGGCCUGCUUUCCCUUGUGGAUUGCGGGUACUCGAGUGGCGAACGGGUGAGUAACACGUGAGUGAUCUGCCCCCAACUUGGGUAUAAGCCUGGGAAACUGGGUCUAAUUCCCGAUAGGACUGCAGGGUGGUGCCUGUGGUGGAAAACGAUUUUCUAGUGGUUGGGGAUGAGCUCGCGGCCUAUCAGCUUGUUGGUGGGGUAAUGGCCUACCAAGGCGGCGACGGGUAGCCGGCCUGAGAGGGUGGACGGCCACAUUGGGACUGAGCUACGGCCCAGACUCCUACGGGAGGCAGCAGUGGGGAAUAUUGCACAAUGGGCGGAAGCCUGAUGCAGCGACGCCGCGUGGGGGAUGACGGCCUUCGGGUUGUAAACUCCUUUCGACCGCGAGGAAGCCACCUGGUUGGAAGGGUGGUGACGGUAGUGGGAGAAGAAGCACCGGCUAACUACGUG
This 494-nucleotide ribosomal RNA is filed under the name uncultured bacterium. Its description in RNAcentral is "partial 16S ribosomal RNA". It matches the Rfam family "Bacterial small subunit ribosomal RNA", at positions 28 to 507 of the family's 1533-position model. The record is from RNAcentral.